RNAcentral lists this ribosomal RNA (254 nucleotides) under uncultured bacterium. RNAcentral describes it as "partial 16S ribosomal RNA". It matches the Rfam family "Bacterial small subunit ribosomal RNA", at positions 524 to 776 of the family's 1533-position model. The record is from RNAcentral.
UACGUAGGUGGCAAGCGUUGUCCGGAUUUACUGGGCGUAAAGAGCGCGCAGGCGGUCGUUCAAGUCGCGUGUGAAAGCCCCCGGCUCAACUGGGGAGGGUCACGCGAUACUGAUCGACUCGAAGGCAGGAGAGGGUAGUGGAAUUCCCGGUGUAGUGGUGAAAUGCGUAGAUAUCGGGAGGAACACCAGUGGCGAAGGCGACUACCUGGACUGUUUCUUGACGCUGAGGCGCGAAAGCUAGGGGAGCAAACGGG